AGCGAACGCUGGCGGCGUGCUUAACACAUGCAAGUCGAACGUGAAAUGUAGCAAUACAGAGUAAAGUGGCGUACGGGUGAGUAACACGUGGGUAAUCUACCAAAGAGCCUGGAAUAACCGACCGAAAGGUUGGCUAAUACUGGAUAGUUCAAAUGAAAUAUAAUGUUUCGAUUGGGAAAGGGAGCGAGCAAUCGCCUUCACUUUUUGAUGAGCCCGCGUCUGAUUAGCUAGUUGGUAGGGUAAUGGCCUACCAAGGCGACGAUCAGUAGCUGGUCUGAUAGGAUGAUCAACCACACUGGAACUGAAACACGGUCCAGACUCCUACGGGAGGCAGCAGUGGGGAAUCUGGCGCAAUGGACGAAAGUCUGACGCAGCCACGCCGCGUGAGUGAAGAAGGCCUUCGGGUUGUAAAGCUCUGUCGGAAGGGACAAAAACGUUUAAGGUUAAUAGCCUUAGAUCUUGAUGGUACCUUCAAAGGAAGCACCGGCUAACUUCGUGCCAGCCGCCGCCGUAA
RNAcentral lists this ribosomal RNA (514 nucleotides) under uncultured bacterium. RNAcentral's name for it is "partial 16S ribosomal RNA". It matches the Rfam family "Bacterial small subunit ribosomal RNA", at positions 29 to 523 of the family's 1533-position model. The record is from RNAcentral.